RNAcentral lists this ribosomal RNA (458 nucleotides) under uncultured bacterium. Its description in RNAcentral is "SSU rRNA". It matches the Rfam family "Bacterial small subunit ribosomal RNA", at positions 26 to 518 of the family's 1533-position model. The record is from RNAcentral.
AGAAUCAACGCUGGCGGCGUGCCUAACACAUGCAAGUCGCACGAGAAAGGGUAGCAAUACCUGAGUAAAGUGGCGCACGGGUGAGUAACACGUGAAUUAUCUACCUCCGAGUGGGGAAUAACUGAGAGAAAUCUUAGCUAAUACCGCAUAACACUUACGAGUCAAAGCAGCAAUGCGCUUGGAGAGGAGUUCGCGGCAGAUUAGUUAGUUGGCGGGGUAAUGGCCCACCAAGACGAUGAUCUGUAUCCGGCCUGAGAGGGCGCACGGACACACUGGAACUGAAACACGGUCCAGACUCCUACGGGAGGCAGCAGUGGGGAAUUUUGCGCAAUGGGGGAAACCCUGACGCAGCAACGCCGCGUGGAGGAUGAAAUAUCUUGGUAUGUAAACUCCUUUCGAUGGGGAAGAUUAUGACGGUACCAUAGAAGAAGCCCGGCUAACUUCGUGCCAGCAGCCGC